CUACGGGCCGCUGCAGUGGGGAAUUUUGGAUAAUGGGGGCAACCCUGAUCCAGCCAUGCCGCGUGAGUGAAGAAGGCCUUCGGGUUGUAAAGCUCUUUCGCAAGGAAAGAAAACUUACCUUUUAAUAAAGGGUGAGGCUGACGGUACCUUGAUAAGAAGCACCGGCUAACUACGUGCCAGCAGCCGCGGUAAUACGUAGGGUGCGAGCGUUAAUCGGAAUUACUGGGCGUAAAGCGUGCGCAGGCGGUUCGACAAGUCUGAUGUGAAAUCCCCGGGCUUAACCUGGGAACUGCGUUGGAAACUGUCGGGCUAGAGUGUAGAAGAGGGGGGUAGAAUUCCACGUGUAGCAGUGAAAUGCGUAGAGAUGUGGAGGAAUACCGAUGGCGAAGGCAGCCCCCUGGGCUAACACUGACGCUCAUGCACGAAAGCGUGGGGAGCAAACAGGAUUAGAUACCCCGGUAGUC
This 464-nucleotide ribosomal RNA is filed under the name uncultured bacterium. RNAcentral's name for it is "partial 16S ribosomal RNA". It matches the Rfam family "Bacterial small subunit ribosomal RNA", at positions 339 to 795 of the family's 1533-position model. The record is from RNAcentral.